RNAcentral lists this ribosomal RNA (2393 nucleotides) under Lindbladia tubulina. Its description in RNAcentral is "partial small subunit ribosomal RNA". It matches the Rfam family "Eukaryotic small subunit ribosomal RNA". The record is from RNAcentral. Lineage: Eukaryota; Evosea; Eumycetozoa; Liceales; Cribrariaceae.
UCGACAACCUGGUUGAUCCUGCCAGUAUGAUAUGCUUGUUUCCGAGAUUAAGCCAUGCAUGCUUUCUUGAAUAAACGUUCUAAUUUAUUCAAACCUUGGAUAGUGGACGGUGAAUCUGCGAAAAGCUCCAUAAUACUGUUAUAACUCUCCCAAUUAAACGUAGACUUCUACCAAUAUAAGUAGCAAGUCUUCCUUCUUUUGAUCCCCUUUCUCAAAGAGGCUCUCAAUUGGAUGGAAAACUUAUACGGAUAUCCGGUGGAAAUUCUACGGCUAAUACGUGCUCCUUGGUUCUUCAUUUCAUUCUUAGUACUAGUAGGGCCCUUUAACUUGAAUAUCCUUCGGGGUACUCAUUGUUUCUUGUCUCUAUUACUAUUUGGGGGUGGGGUGGAAGCCAUGAAAUUCUUUAAAAAUCUCUUGAUAAGUUCGAACUCAUACUCUUGGUUGAGUAUGGCUUUUGAUUUUUCAAGGUGAUUCUGGUUCUUGGUCGACUGAGAAAUACUCUUGCUUUAGUAGUAAUUCCUUAACUGGUCUAACUGCUAUUCAAGAGCCUCUUUCUUAGUAAGUUGGAGAGGUUUCAGAUCUAUCAUACUAGUGAACAGGGUAUUGACCUGCUCAGGUUAUAACAGAUACGGGGAAUUAGGGUUUGAUUCCGGAGAGGAAGCCUAAAAAACCGCUUCCACUUCCAAGGAAGGCAGCAGGCGCGUAACGUUUCCAAUGACUAAGUUUGUUGAGAACGUUAGGAAACAUAUGGGACUAGGCUAUUUAGUCUAGAAUACCCGAAUGAGGGCAAUCCAAACAACUCACCUAGUAACAAUUAGUGGGAAAGUCUGGUGCCAGCAUCCGCGGUAAUUCCAGCACUAAUAGCAUAUUAUUUUGCUGUUGCAGUUGAAACAUUCGUAGUCGAACUUUGGUUUUUUAUGCACUCGGAGAGAAGAUUGUGCUCUUAUCUGUUUCCUUCAGUCUGAGAAAAUAGGUCUUUCACUGGGUUUCCUGGUGGGUUAGAAGAAAUUUAUUUCUUCUUUCUUUCCACUUGUUAGCCCAAAGGCUAGACUUUGACUCUUACUCAAGAGCUUAUAAUCACAUUCCGAUUCAAAGAGUUGUUGAGAAAGCCAAUCACUGUCUGGACUAGCCAACUUCCUUUCACUAGGCAGGUUGGUUACUUCAGAUAACUUACCUUGAGACAAUAAACUGGCUCAAAGUAAGUCUUCCUUUCGUGACAUUGAAUUCACUAGCAUGGGAUAAUUUAUCUUUCUGAUAAGUUGGUUCUCUGUCAGAGGGAAGGUGGUUAAAAGGGGUAGAGGGGGUCAGCCAAGCUAUGGGGCGAGGGGUGAAAUCCGUUGACCCUCAUAGAUUGACCACGAGCGAAAGCGGCUGGCUACGAUAUCUCUUUUGAUCAAGAAUGGGAGUGGGGGGAUCGAAAAUGAUUAGAUACCGUUGUAGUCCCCACAGCAAAAGUUGUCAACCACCCGUGGGAUGACAAUCUACCAGACUUCUUCCAUAUGUCAAUAAAAGUUACUAAGUUGACUCUGGGGGGAGUAUGGUCGCAAGUCUGAAACUUAAAGGAAUUGACGGAGGAGCACACAAGGAGUGGAACCUGCGGCUUAAUUUGACUCAACACGGGGAAUCUUACGGAGAUCAAAGGAGGUAUGAUAGACACAAUAAAGUUGUUUCUUGACUUCUUCCAUCGGUGGUGCAUGGCCGUUCUUAGUUCGUGUAGUGGUAUGUCUGGUCAACUCCGCUAACGAGCAAGACGCAAAACUUUCUCAUUAGGUUCUGGAUGUCGAAAGCAUUUGAGUGGGUUAUCUCUGUAAGACUACCAAUCUCCUUCUAUUAAUAGACUUUUCUCCGGGAACUUCUAGUCUUAGUUGGAGUUUGGAAUCCUAGCUUAUUCAGUAAUUUGCUCAAGUGCUAUUCAGGACUCUAGUCUGAGAGUGACAAACGAUUUAAAACCGUUGGAAGUAUUGUGCUAUAACAGGUCAGUGAUGCCCUAAGAUAUCUCCGGCUGCACGCGCGUUACUUUAGUAUGAGUAGCUAGACCACGGCAAGAAAUUGCUUGUGUAAUCUAGAAUUCAUCACUAAGGUAAGGAUUGCUUUGUUCCACUCAAACCAUGAAUAUGGAAUUUCUAGUAAGCGCUAGUUCACAAAACUGCGCUGACUUUGUCCCUGCUCCUUGUACACACCGCCCGUCGCUCCUACCGAUGAGUGGCUUGCUAAAGAUACCAGAGAAAAAUUAGAGAAGACUGUGAAAAAGAAAAAAAGCUUGCUUUCUCUCUUUUUUACAGAGACCUCUACAUUUUUUCGAAGGUUUCUGGACCAAGACACUUAGAGGAAGGAGAAGUCGUAACAAGGUAGCUGUAGGUGAACCUGCAGAAGGAUCAAGCUUGGAUCCCGGG